UGGGGGAUAUUGGACAAUGGGGGGAACCCUGAUCCAGCGACGCCGCGUGAGUGAAGAAGUAUCUCGGUAUGUAAAGCUCUAUCAGCAGGGAAGAAAGAAAUGACGGUACCUGAGUAAGAAGCCCCGGCUAACUACGUGCCAGCAGCCGCGGUAAUACGUAGGGGGCAAGCGUUAUCCGGAAUUACUGGGUGUAAAGGGAGCGUAGACGGUGAUGUAAGUCUGGAGUGAAAGGCGGGGGCCCAACCCCCGGACUGCUCUGGAAACUAUAUGACUGGAGUGCAGGAGAGGUGAGCGGAAUUCCUA
This 303-nucleotide ribosomal RNA is filed under the name uncultured bacterium. RNAcentral describes it as "bacterial SSU rRNA". It matches the Rfam family "Bacterial small subunit ribosomal RNA", at positions 355 to 672 of the family's 1533-position model. The record is from RNAcentral.